Molecule: long non-coding RNA, 7790 nt
Organism: Passer domesticus (house sparrow)
Lineage: Eukaryota; Metazoa; Chordata; Aves; Passeriformes; Passeridae
Exons: 2
Source: RefSeq, a predicted model, not a curated record
GCCGCGAGCAGGGACGUCAGAGCCGAGCGACCGCCGGGCGCGGCACCGCCGCCCUCCGUGCGGGCCGGAGCGCAGCUUUGCCUGGCCCGGGGCGGCCGGGCCUGCUCCGGCACCGGCUGCGGCCGGCGGGGAAGCGCCCCCGUCCAUUUUCCAUUGUCAUUCUCAGGAUGGCCUGCGCAGGGCCAGGAGCUGGGCUCGAUGGUCCUGCUGGGGCCCUUCCAUCUCAGCGGCACCGACCGGGGGAUAUUGGGAACUCUGCGGCCGCAGACGGCACGGCUACACCAAGACAGGCCAAGUGAGGGAUCUCUGCAAAAGCAGGUUCUGCAUCUCCCCCCAUCACAAGCGGAGGCUGUCCCAGUGGCAUCCCCCCGGCAGGAGACAGCAGCGUGCCUGGCCCCCUGGAUACUGUCAGGUUCCUGUGAGGCCUGAAGAGCCCCAUCUUUCUCAGCCUGCUGUGCCUAGGAAGAGGGUGUGGACAUGACAGGAGCUGAUCACUGCCUGCUUGUGAGUUGACAGUUCAUGGAAAACACGUCAGGAGACAGGUCAGGUUGGGCUGCAGGCAGGAACUGGAACUGUCAUCAGAUUAAGGGAAGUGUCACACACCUCUGGCUCCAGGGCACAACCUGGCAUCUCUCCUCCUCCACUCUCAACCCAGUCACCCAUCCAGUCAACUUCUUGACCUUCACACAGGGGUCACAGUGAAAGGUGAAUCUUUGUCUAUACUCAGCUCAGGCUUCGCUGUGCUGAGCUGAAUGUUCACAAGAUCCCAGCUCUGAGGCUGUGAGCAACCUGAGAGUCCAUGUGGGGGAAGGACUUGCCUGUGGUGUUACCUGCUGCCAGGAAUCCAGCCUGUGACAAUUCACCUUGACUCCAAUUGCCUGGCGUCAAAAUUGCUACUUCAAUCAUCAACUAACACGGAAUGAAUGAGCAAUGGACAGUUCAUGCGAGGUCACUUCUUGGUAAAAGGACAGCUGGAUGUAACCAGCUACAGUAGCAGCAAGGAAAAAAUAAACUUGGGAGGGAUGGUACCAGCCAGCAAUGCCAUGGUGCUGUAGGGAAAGGGAAAUCCCAUUUUCAGAUGAAGUAGCAAUACCGUGAGAUGCAGUUACUCAGUUUUAUUCUGGUUUAUCCAACACAAACAACAUCUCAGGUGAGGAGACUGUAAAACAGGAAUAAAAAAUACAUACAGAAGAAAAUACAGCAUAUCAGGAGGUGUUGAAAUCAGAAUCAUUUAAAUUGACUUUGGUUAUUGUGAAGGACAGUAGAAAUUAUUUCCUGUGUCUUCCAGAGGAGAAUGAGCACAGAUGAAGUUACUAACAGAGUAGACAUCUCUCACCCCUUCAACUUGACAAGAGGGAAAAUUUCUUGAUAUCAAAGAGAAAAAUUCAUGUAGCUCUUCCUCACUAUACAUUUGAAUAUACACAUCAGAGAAUGAUCUGACUGAGUACAGGUACACCUAAUAUGCACAGCACAGUGACACAGAGCAAGUAGACAAAAAGUCCUUUCCAGGCCACCAUUUCAAUUAAUCUAUGUUAUUGAUUUAGAAGAAAACACUGAUAAAAUAGAGAUUCUGAAUUUUCACAAAACUUUGUAAAAUUACUUCAGAAAUAAUUCUUCCAGUGACAAAGAGAAGUUGAAGUGUAGAGUGCAGUGGAGAGAGAUCAGCACAGUGGAAUCCAGUGUAUCCUGCAUACCAGUAUCUCACUGUAGGCAGUAUAAGUAGAAUAACAGUUGUUUCCUCAAUACUGGGAAUGUCAGUAGUCAUAAUCACUUCAUACCAUAAAAUACAAGACCACUUGGAUAUCAAGGAAUAAUACUGUACAAAGUAUGUUCAAGGCUCAAUAGGAGUUAACAUUCCUGUGGUACCCAGGUGUUUGCUUUUGGUUUGGGGUUCAGGGUUUUUCAAAUACUGCGGGUGUAGAAGUAAAACAGAAAGCCCAGAUGGAUUAAUUCAGGGUUUCUGCAGAAAGAAGAGUAGGCAUAGAAAAGGCAGCACUAGGCAGCACUCAGAGAACAACUUAGGUCAGAAAUAGCAGAGAAAACAAGUUCAUGAUGAAUCUUGGGUCACUUGAAAGGCUGAGGGAGCUGGGCCUGUUCAGCUUUGAGGAGAGAGGACCCCACCAAUGUGUAUGAAUAUUUAAAGCAGGGGUAUCCGGAAUAUUCUCAGUGGUGCCAAGCAGUAGGACAAGAGGCCAUGGCAGAAACUGAUGCAUAGGAAAUUCCAGUUGGAUAUGAGGAAAAACUUUAUUGUGUGGGUGACUGUGGACUGGAACAGAUUGCCCAGAGUGGUUGUGGAGUCUCUCUCACUGGAGAUAUUAAUGAACUAUCUGCACACAAGCCUGUGCAAUGUGCUCUGGGAUGACCCUGGCUGAGCAGGGAGGUUGGACCAGAUGACCCACUGUGAUCCCUUCCAACCUGAUCCCUUCUAUUGUGUGAAACCUGCAGACCCAGUCUGCCCAGCUCCUCUAGAAACACAACCAGUUCUGGGCACACUGCUGCUCUCCUGCUUACCCGGGAGUUGACAGUGCAGCUGUGCACAGUCACAAGACCCAAGUGUUUUCAAAACUCAAAAACUUACCAGUAGAACCCAAAAACUUGGGAAAUAGACCAACAGAGCUAAAAGGGAAACAUGAGUUCCUGAUUCUGACCUAGAAAGUGAGCCAUGCAGCCCCCUUCUUUCCCAGUUUUCCAUGCCUGGCAGGGGAAUGGAAGACAGAUGGAGGAAGCAGACAACAGCCAGGUUUCUCAACUAUGCAGCUAGACCCGUAACGACUAUGUGUAAGAUGCAGAUUUUGUCAAACAAGCACUGAUCCAUCCAAAGGACACCAAAAAAUUCCUACUUGUAUCUUGAAACUCUUGGGAAAAGCUACAGCUGAAGCUCUUGUUGGUUAAAUCAUGCACAUUAUGAUCAAACAUCUUCAAAAUCACCAUUGAAGCUCCACUUCAAAAUGAGCAUCCAUUCUUCCAAAUUAAAGAUACUCAAUCAAUUUGUAAAAUUGGUCAAAGGCUGGUGUGUAGCACUGGACAUCAGAUUUUGAGAAUCAAAAAGCUAAUAUUAGCCUCUGUGUGUACAAAAUACUCCAUUGUUUACACAAAUGAUAAAAGACUGAUAUGUACUUGAUUAGGAAAUGUUAAUUUUCCAAAGAUCCUAACAAUAGAUUACUUUUAAAAAUCUUCUCAGUGGUAGUGAAUGUAUGAUAUGUCACUAAGAUACAUUCCAUUCCACUGUAAACAAUGAUAGCAGAUACAUUUCCUUACACUAUUAUUCAGCUCAUUUGUUGAACACAAUCUUUCUUCCUCCCAUUUUUGCUUUAAUGUAGUUUGGUAUGAACAAAGACACAUUUCAUGCUGGCUCACACAAAUGAAAACGCCAUUGAUUACAGUGGUGCUGAGCCUCCUGCUUGCUGCCAAACAGCAAGAAUGUGACCCAUUUCACCCUUUUUCACCUCCAUGUGCACCAAAGUCAUUGAUUUGUCAGAAAAUAUAUAAGCAUGGGAUUAUACAACUCUACAAUAUGAUGCAAUCCUACAGUAACUCCCAAGUGUAGCCUUUUUCUACAUGAAUUAAAAGUGAAUAUGUGUCCUUUCAACCCCCAGAGAGAGCUACCAUUCUCAUCUGAUUUUCCAGGAAUGAAAGUUUUCCUAUGAAAAUCUACAUGCCUUUGUAAAUCAUGUACAAAAGUCACCUGCCUGCCCCAAAUGAAUCUCUUUUAUUCCAUCCACCUGCUGUGUCACCAGUGACUUCUUCCCGAGUUCCUCUCAGGCUGGAAGAUGGCAGGACUAAACGUGAUUUCUCUGCCUGGUGUUCUGUGGCACAAUCAGGGCUGCCAGUCUCACAGCCAAAUGCCAGUCAAAAAUCAUGGAACAUCCUUGAACAAAAUGGCCAACAUGGGAAAAAGGCCCUUUCCCCAUCUUGUUUAGAUCUUUGGUCACAGAGUAAUAAUCCCAUUUGUGUUCAGGAACCUACUCUGAAACAGGGAGGAACAGUCUGGCUUUCCCAAGCCUCACAACAACCACUUUGGCUAAAAGGAAAAGUUCAGAGUUCAGUUCACGAACAUUUCCUCCAUAUCAAGAGAAAAAGCACCAGGACAUGAUUGGAUUAAAGGUCACCAUUUACAGAACUGGAAACAAAAAAAUACUUUCUCAUAAUAUAUAAGAAAGUCAAUAUAAUCUUAAAGCCUACAAAACCAGAGGCAAUAUUUAUUAAACCAAAUCAGGCUACAGACAUCCCUGUCACAGCACACUGACAGAAGUUCUGUAUCCCCUUCAGUGACAGAAACAUCAAGUUAUAAUACUAGAAUGUUUUCAGUGGAUAAUGUUCCGUGUUCUGAGUGGAUCAAAAUACAACACUGGCAUGCAUGUGGCAGUCUGCUGCUUCUCCCUUCAAGGCCAGGGAAAAAUACCUUUUUAUUUUACACCCACAAAUAUGGUCUAGGGAAAAGAGCAACAGCUUGGGACUGUAUGACCUUGUCACAGAACCCCCAACAGAAAAGAGAAACAUCUCUGACUGUAGAAUCAAAGGCACUCACACCUCAGGAAAGUUCUUACAGCUAUACCUCCUGGAAAGGAAAAUUUCCCAGGAUGACAGAGCCAGUCUGAAAACUCCAGAAAAAACUGAAGGAUGUCAUUUUACCAGUAGAGCUAUCUGUCAGACCUUGAAGUGAAAAAAAAUUUCCUUGUUAUAACCCACCCCCAGGGUAGGUCUAAAGGGAGAGCCUUGCACUGCAUGUUUAAGACAGUUUUUUAGUCUAUGCCAGGAGGGAAAAUGUGGACUGUGUCUAAGCAGUGAUCCCUGAGCCUUCUGGACAUAGAGAAGAAAGAUGGUCUGAGUAUGGCUCUGCAUGAUAGAAAGGGAACACAACAAAUAUCUCAUACACCACUCAGUGCAUUAAUCAAGCAUUAUGCCAUAAAUAACUCAUUAGCAAGCAUUAUGAAAAACAGUGCCAGUGUUAGGAAUUCCUGAUUGUCUCUGAAGGAGCAGAAGUGGGAUCAGCACAGCUCUUCUGGGGAGUCCAGCAAGAAGAAAGAGCAUCUCCUUACGAUCUAACUUCCUUUCUUGUAGGCAAAAGGAAAAUCUGGGCCAAACAGCCUCUUUUAUCAGGUAUAAAAUCUCCCAUUGCAACAUUAGGAUUACAUAAAACUACAACAUUGUAGCAGUGUGCACAAACAAAAAGCUGCUCAUCUGUGUUACCACCUAAAGGCAGGCUCAAACUACAUGCGUUGUGAGAUUCCUGAUAAUAGCUCUGGGGAGAAGGGCUAGAGAUGGUAAACAACAAUUUUAUAUGACUAAUCCAAUAUAAUCCUAUGCUGGGUAAAAAAUCCAUCUGCAUGGAUUCCCACUGAAGUGCACUUUAAUAACAGUGCAGCAAGCCUCUGGCUGUCACACUGAGGAAACGCUCGUUCGCAUUCGGGCUAAUAAUUGCAAAAGAUUUCUUCCUUUUUCUUUUUUUUUUUCACCCCUUUGUUUUUAUUAAAGCUGUUAUACACUUGUCCUCCCAUUUUAUUCCCUGUUAAGAGAUUAUCCAUCCGACCCACGAAGUGACAAAGAUCCAUCAAAUCCGUGAAGCGACAAAGAUGCACACCGGAAGGCAUCUGAGGAUUCCAUGUCGACGGCCGGGUAGCUACAGCGAGGUCACCCUCUCUCUGCAAAGCUACAACCCUUUUCAUUACAUCACCGCAGCCUGCAGUUACUGUAGAGAAUGGCAAGCUGUCUGCUGAGGCAGAAUCAAACCAAUUCCAGCUGCGCAGCUUCCGCACCGAGUGACCCCGGGAUUUGCUCCCAGCAGACGGCGGGGGGGACCCGGACGCACCCUGUGUGGCACAGAGCGGGAGCGACGGACGCUGCGCAGCGGCUCAGGGCAGCAAGGCAAGGACACUGCCACCCCCAGCUGGCCACACCUACGCCAAUUAGGGCUUCACACCCCGGCAGAGAAGGAAAUCCGUGACUAGGCUCUCUGUUCUCCUCUGAGGUCAGAGAGAAGAGGUUUUCCCCUCCACUGGGCAUUCAUUGUCUCGGGGAAGGAAGUCUGACAUUCACACAAAUCUGCCUGGGGCUCAGGAGGAUUGAGGCAGACAAAGCACCCGAGAAACACUUGUAUUUCAGGUUCAUCAGGAUGGGCCUAUUCCAAAGGGACGAGAUUAAACACGUGGCGUGUGUGUAGGUUACAAAAGGCAUGUGAGAGGAACUGGCUAGUGUUUGGGGUUAUGAAAGAUCAGAGGUUAUGAAAGACCUCGGCAGUUAUGAAAGAUGAGCCAAGAGUCUGAUCCAGCAAGGCGGAGAGCAGCCUCAACCAGCUCGAGGUGAAUGGACAGUCACAAUGAGCCAGCAGCUCACAUGAGGAAGCUCACACUGCCUCGGCAGGUCUAGGCUAAGGAAGGUUUGAAAAAAUAAUGGACUAGGAGAAUGAGAAAGGGAAAUAUUAUCAUUUAAAGGCCUUACAGGCAGUUGUAAUUUUUGGCAAAGUAUUUUGGAAGGUCUUAAAAUACUAGCUGCAGUUAAUGAUUUUCUAAGUAUUCUUUACUGGCCUUCUAGUUCUGUUUUAAAUCUACCUGCACAAGCCACAUAGCUGCAGUGAAUCUGUAAAAAACAAGGGCUCAUUCAGAUAUUUUGGCCUCUAAAGUUCAGCCUCUGGUAACCCUAUUAUCACUAUUCUACCACCAGAAUGAAGAGAAGGUUGGGGAAAUUCUACUGUUCAAAUGCUUUUUUCCAGACGUCACUUAGAAAGAGGACGUACUCCUGCUAAGAAAAAUGUUGAGGAGAGCACCUCCCCUUCUUUGUAACUACUUCUCUGUGAUGUUGUAACUUUCUGUAGACACCUUCAGUUACUUGUGUAUUCUGCCUGCUGCACUGUAAUUCACACUGCCUGCUUUUAAAACACGCCUUAAACAGCCUUCCAAAUGCCCCUGUGGCAGUCUAAUAACAACACAUCUGCAGGCAUUGAGGCAGACCCGAUGCAUAGGGGAAGAAACCAUCUGCACUACAUCAGAAUAGGAUCUAGUCUGUUUCAACAAUAGAUAUAGAGUUUUAUUGUUGGUAAAUUCAAACUAAAACUUUGUAGUUCAAGGUAAAACAAAGGCAACUUUGUUUCUGAACAAAGUGUGUGUUUAAAAAACACCUUCUGUGUUUUUUUCAAGGAAAAACACAGGAAACAUUUCUUAUCAUGGUCUGAGAUGCUUCCUAGAAUGCAAAGCCACGUUUAACUGUACAUUUUCUUUUUCACCAAAGUUAAAGCUGUCUAUACUACAUCUCAGCAGUCCAUGAAUCUCACCAGAAAUACAUUUACCCAUCUGGCCCUGCACAGAGACUCUCUAGGGAAGGUCCUGAACAUGCCUCAUGCCAUGGCAGCGAUAAGAAGCACAGAUUUCCAGAACCUAGAGGAAACUCAGAUUAAAGAAGGAUCCAGAUCAUUUCUGUUCUACACUAGUUCAAGUUAUACUGCAUGUUUGUAGGAUUAUUGCACUUAUGGAAACUAAUCUAACAUAAGAAUGACACAAAUAUGCAUUUGGGGGAAACAAGUCACUUGGACCAAUCAGUCAGCAGAAAAAUUGACAAACAUUUGGUGAGGACUUAUUCAACAAAAUUUCAUCAUUUCAUGCUUCAACCAUACUGUUACACUUUGUGUAGCAGCUAAUUCACCUUCUCAGAGUUUGUUACCAUUUUUUUUAUUAUUCAAAAUGGAGACUAAAAAAAUAUUUCGUUAAGUAGAAAGACAGCCUUGCUGUCUUUGUAGCAUCCAGUGCCAGGGUGCAGCUCAGAAAUUUAAAGAAUAAAGUUGAAUUCUUGUGCUAUAA